UUAACCAAGAUAAACCUCCAAGACUGUUGAGCUGUCUUACCUUGUUUUCCUCUUGAAUGGCCUUCGCCUGCCGUAAAAUGAACGGCAGGUAAGAACCCAGGACCUUCUCUUUGUGCUUCUUGUGAAAAACCAGCUCAUAGGAUCUUAGUCGUGCUACUAAGGUAUAAUUUCUAACCUCAGAGUUUUCUCUAAUAACCAUCCUCCACUUUACUUCAAUAUUUUCAAAAACAUCAAGAAUUUCUUGGUCUCUGUCCAGGGAAAUCGCUGGUUUUUUCUCUUUCUCCUUCUUGCAUGCCUUUAUUCUUCGAAUUGAUGGAGCCGAUUUAGUUCCCAGAUAAGUCUCAGCAGCCAAA
RNAcentral lists this long non-coding RNA (353 nucleotides) under Populus trichocarpa (black cottonwood). RNAcentral describes it as "long non-coding RNA (PTRI_LNC000396)". Lineage: Eukaryota; Viridiplantae; Streptophyta; Magnoliopsida; Malpighiales; Salicaceae. The record is from RNAcentral.